UGAACGAGUGGCGGACGGGUGAGUAACACGUGGGUAACCUGCCCUUAAGUGGGGGAUAACAUUUGGAAACAGAUGCUAAUACCGCAUAAAUCCAAGAACCGCAUGGUUCUUGGCUGAAAGAUGGCGUAAGCUAUCGCUUUUGGAUGGACCCGCGGCGUAUUAGCUAGUUGGUGAGGUAACGGCUCACCAAGGCAAUGAUACGUAGCCGAACUGAGAGGUUGAUCGGCCACAUUGGGACUGAGACACGGCCCAAACUCCUACGGGAGGCAGCAGUAGGGAAUCUUCCACAAUGGACGCAAGUCUGAUGGAGCAACGCCGCGUGAGUGAAGAAGGCUUUCGGGUCGUAAAACUCUGUUGUUGGAGAAGAAUGGUCGGCAAGAGUAACUGUUGUCGGCGUGACGGUAUCCAACCAG
This 413-nucleotide ribosomal RNA is filed under the name Lacticaseibacillus rhamnosus. RNAcentral's name for it is "bacterial SSU rRNA". It matches the Rfam family "Bacterial small subunit ribosomal RNA", at positions 88 to 486 of the family's 1533-position model. Lineage: Bacteria; Bacillati; Bacillota; Bacilli; Lactobacillales; Lactobacillaceae. The record is from RNAcentral.